This 497-nucleotide ribosomal RNA is filed under the name uncultured bacterium. Its description in RNAcentral is "partial 16S ribosomal RNA". It matches the Rfam family "Bacterial small subunit ribosomal RNA", at positions 28 to 507 of the family's 1533-position model. The record is from RNAcentral.
GAUGAACGCUGGCGGCGUGCCUAAUACAUGCAAGUCGAGCGAACGGACGAGAAGCUUGCUUCUCUGAUGUUAGCAGCGGACGGGUGAGUAACACGUGGAUAACCUACCUAUAAGACUGGGAUAACUUCGGGAAACCGUAGCUAAUACCGGAUAAUAUUUUGAACCGCAUGGUUCAAAAGUGAAAGACGGUCUUGCUGUCACUUAUAGAUGGAUCCGCGCUGCAUUAGCUAGUUGGUAAGGUAACGGCUUACCAAGGCAACGAUGCAUAGCCGACCUGAGAGGGUGAUCGGCCACACUGGAACUGAGACACGGUCCAGACUCCUACGGGAGGCAGCAGUAGGGAAUCUUCCGCAAUGGGCGAAAGCCUGACGGAGCAACGCCGCGUGAGUGAUGAAGGUCUUCGGAUCGUAAAACUCUGUUAUUAGGGAAGAACAUAUGUGUAAGUAACUGUGCACAUCUUGACGGUACCUAAUCAGAAAGCCACGGCUAACUACGUG